RNAcentral lists this ribosomal RNA (420 nucleotides) under uncultured prokaryote. RNAcentral's name for it is "bacterial SSU rRNA". It matches the Rfam family "Bacterial small subunit ribosomal RNA", at positions 355 to 774 of the family's 1533-position model. The record is from RNAcentral.
UAAGGAAUAUUGCUCAAUGGGAGAAAUCCUGAAGCAGCAACGCCGCGUGGAGGAUGAAGGGCUUUCAGCUUGUAAACUCCUGUAAAGAAGGAAAAAAUACCCAUUAGAUGGGAAAUGAUGGUACUUCUAAAGUAAGCCCCGGCUAACUACGUGCCAGCAGCCGCGGUAAUACGUAGGGGGCAAGCGUUGGCCGGAUUUACUGGGUGUAAAGGGUGCUCAGGCGGAUUUGUAAGGCAGAGGUGAAAUCUCACAGCUUAACUGUGUAACUGCCUUUGAUACUGCAAGUCUAGAGUAUGGAAGAGGGUGAUGGAAUGUCUGGUGUAGCAGUGAAAUGCGUAGAUAUCAGAUAGAACACCAAUGGCGAAGGCAGUCACUUGGUCCAUUACUGACGCUAAAGCACGAAAGCGUGGGUAGCAAACA